This is a long non-coding RNA of Anopheles merus, 343 nucleotides long. RefSeq lists it as uncharacterized. Lineage: Eukaryota; Metazoa; Arthropoda; Insecta; Diptera; Culicidae. The record is from RefSeq and is a predicted model, not a curated record. The transcript is spliced from 4 exons.
GCCCUCGCAUUAAAGAGCUUGCGAGCCUAGUUAGUAUUUUGGUCCCUUGCUUGAGCAGUUAUAAUUAUAGCACGUCGAGAACAGCGAAGAAAAGACAGGCGUAUUGCAGUGCAUCAUGGCAGGUCUAUAAGCGUUUCUACAUACAGUCUGUUCCCGAGUUAGGCGGUUUUUGCGUUCCCGAAGAAUCCGCGCGAAUUUUAAGAACAAAACGAGACAAAAUACGAAAACAAGCUUGAAAUUGUCCCGAAUUGAAUUCUAUCUACUGUAGCUGAGAAGCGUUUGACAGCCAAGGUAUUCAAAGCACAGUGCACCUCCAUAUGAUCAUAUGGGUUUGUUCGUGUCG